GAGACCAAUGACAAAGGAUAUACAGUUGAAUGCUAAGGAAGCUCGAGGCAUUCACGGCAAAAGUCACUCACGCAAAUCAAAUUAAUAUGUCGGGUUUCUUCUGGAAUAUGAGGGGAUUCAAUAAAAGGAGUAAGCAUACAGUUGUGAAGGAUUGGAUAAAGCAGAGAGGAUUUGAUUUUGGGUGUCUUAUAGAAACAAAGGUUAAGGAAACAAAGGCAAAGAAGGUGGUUGAUGAAGUGUUUAGAGAUUGGUCCUGCAUUACUAACUAUGAGCACCAUAGGCUUGGCCGGCUAUGGGUCGUCUGGAACCAAAAUGUCUGUGUGACACCUCUGUUUAAAACAUCACAAAUGAUCUCAUGUUCGAUUCAGAUACAGGGUAUGGAGGAGCCAGUGCUGAUUUCUUUUAUCUAUGCUUCCAAUUCAGUGGAAGAGAGGAAAAAGUUAUGGGAUGAUUUAAAACUUCAUCAUGAUUCUCCUAUGUUCCAAGGCAAAGGUUGGCUGAUUUGUGGAGAUUUUAAUGAGAUUCUUGAGGGGGAUGAGCACUCCUUAUUUGAUACCUCUCCAACAAUUCCUGCUGGUAUGAGGGAUUUUCAAGAUCUAGUAAGCUACUGUGAACUUAUAGAUUUGAGCUACCAUGGUCCCAAGUUUACUUGGUGUAAUAAGCGAGUGGAAGGAAUGAUAAGCAAGAAGCUUGACAGAGUAUUAGUAAACCAAGCAUGGAUAUCACGAUUUAUACAAUCUUAUUGUGUUUUUGAAUCGGGUGGAUGCUCUGAUCACGCUAGAUGUAGACUCUAUAUAAAGGAGGCAGAGGCAAAGGGUAGAAGGCCUUUCAAGUUUACAAACGCCAUCAGUUCUUUCCCAGGGUUUAGGGACCAGAUUCAGGAGGAGUGGAGCUCGUCGCCUCCUCUUUACCACUCCACAUCGGCGCUUCAUCGAUUCACUAAAAAGCUGAAGGAUCUCAAACCAAAAAUCAGGAGUAUGGGAAAACAAAUGCUUAGUGAUAUUACUAAAAGAAGUAAAGAAGCUUACAAAAUCCUUUGUGAAUACCAGCAAGAAACGAUGCUUCAUCCCACUACAGGAGCUAUGGAAGCUGAACGCCGAGCCUAUGAAAAGUGGAGUAGAUUGGCAGAGAUUGAGGAAAAGUAUUUGCGACAGAAGGCAAAGCUGUUCUGGUUGAAAGUGGGGGAUCAAAACAAUAAGGUUUUUCACUUGGCAGCAAAGAUAAGAGAAACAAGGAACAAUAUCAGAGAAAUUAUUUGCCCGGAUGGAUCUAUAGUCUCUGAUGCUGAGGGUAUUAAGAGUGAAGCAGAGCGCCACUUCUCUGAAUUUAUGAGUCAGACGCUAAAUGAUUUUCAACCGUGGCAAGUAGAGGAGCUGCGAGAGCUGCUUGAGUUUCAAUGUAGCGAUGAGGAUCACCAAUUACUUCUCCAGGAAGUGUCUGAUGAAGAGGUUAAAACUGUCUUGUUCAAAAUGCCAAAGGAAAAAUCCCCAGGCCCUGAUGGUUAUACCCAAGAAUUUUUUAAAGAAACUUGGCCUAUAGUGGGAAAGGAUUUGGUGGUAGCGGUUCAAUCUUUUUUUAAGCUUGGUUUUCUUCCCAAAGGUGCAAAUUCGACGAUCUUAGCAUUGAUUCCAAAGAAGAAGGAGGCUAAGACGAUGAAAGAUUACAAACCAAUCUCAUGUUGUAAUGUAAUCUACAAAAUCAUAUCAAAGAUUCUUGCAAACAGGCUUAAAGUUGUGCUUCCGAAGUUCAUCGCCCCUAAUCAAUCAGCAUUUGUGAAAGAUCGUCUGUUAAUGGAAAAUCUACUCCUUGCUACGGAGCUGGUCAAGGACUAUCAUAAAGAAACCAUUACUCCAAGAUGUGCUAUGAAAAUAGACAUAUCCAAAGCAUUUGAUUCAGUUCAAUGGAGGUUUCUGCUGAAUACUCUCAAGGCUUUGAACAUCCCAGAAAAAUAUGUUCAUUGGAUCGAUUUAUGUAUCUCCACUGCAUCCUUUUCAGUGCAAGUAAAUGGUGAGCUUGCUGGGUAUUUUGGAAGCAAGAGAGGACUUAGGCAAGGAUGCUCUCUCUCUCCAUACCUCUUUGUUAUAUGUAUGAAUGUUCUGUCAAAAAAACUGGAUAAAGCAGCUUUGGAAGGAAAGUUUGGUUAUCAUCCUACUUGUCAAGAGCUACAGCUUACCCACUUAUGUUUUGCUGAUGAUCUAAUGGUAUUUGUGGAUGGGAAUAAGAGAUCGGUGGAAGGUGUUUUGGAGGUUUUUGAUGAUUUUGCUAUCCACUCUGGUUUGCAUAUAAGCUUGGAGAAAUCAACCAUCUACAUGGCUGGUAUUGAGAAUGUAGAAAAGGAAGCUAUUCUUGAACAGUUUCCGUUUGAGUCAGGAAAUCUCCCAGUGCGAUACCUUGGGCUCCCACUUCUAACAAGGAGAAUGACAUCAGCUGACUACUUACCGCUUAUUGAAAAGAUCAGGUCUCAGAUUACUUCUUGGUCUGCGAGACCUUUAUCAUUUGGUGGCAGGCUUCAGCUUCUGAACUCAGUCGUUUUCAGCCUCACAAACUUCUGGAUAUCAGCAUUUAGGCUUCCAAAAUCGUGUAUACAGGAGAUAGACAAGCUGUGUUCAGCUUUCUUAUGGUCAGGGCCAGCUUUAAACUCGAGAAAAACAAAAGUUGCUUGGUCGGUGGUUACCACUCCAAAGAGAGAAGGAGGUCUCGGACUGAAAUCUUUGGAGGUGGCUAAUAAGGUCAGUGUGCUCAAAAUUAUUUGGAGGCUUUUGUCUAAGAAAUCCUUAUGGGUAGAUUGGGUGAAGCAACAUUUAAUAAGAGGGGGUUCUUUCUGGUCAGUAACGGAGAACUCGGUGAGGGGAUCGUGGAUAUGGAAGAAACUAUUGAAAUACAGAGCUGUGGCAAAAACUCUUUAUAAAUGGGAUUUGAAAAAUGGAUACUCUAUUUCAUUCUGGUUUGACGAGUGGAGCUCAAUGGGUUGUCUUUUUGAUAUAUUUGGUUCGCGAGGAUGCAUAGACCUGGGCGUAUCUCUGAACGCCACGUUGGGCAGUAUAUUAGACAGAACUAGAAUCAGAAGACACCGAUACCCACUUCUGAGACAGGUUGAAGAUGAGCUUGUUGAAGCUAAGAGAAAUAGAAUGGUGGAUGAAGAGGAUGUUGCACUCUGGAAGAACAAAACCGGUCUUUACACUAGUCGAUUCCUUACCAAAGACACUCUGGGGAACUUGAGGUCUCCAAAUCCUGAUUGGGAAGCUCACAAAGCUAUCUGGUUCCAGUUUGCCACGCCAAAGUAUGCUUUUGUGACUUGGCUUGCAGCUCGUAACAGACUAGAAACAGGGGAAAGAAUGGAGAGAUGGAACAUAAAUGUUAACCUGGGAUGCUCUUUCUGCACGGAACCACGAGAAACUCGUGAGCACCUAUUUUUUAGCUGCCCCUUUACAAGCCUGAUAUGGGAGAAGCUGGUAAAGGGAAUUCAAGGCACCAACUAUACGAGCAAUUGGCAGAGUAUUCUCGCCAUUCUGAUGACGAUGGGGACGAAGGAUUCACGAUCUUUCAUUGUGAAGUAUGCAUUUCAGAUGGCAAUACAUUCAAUUUAGAGGGAGAGAAAUCGGCGAAGACAUGGAGAGGACCACUGUACGAAUGAACAACUUCUGAAAACAAUGGAUGUCAUCAUGAGAAACAGGCUCAGCACAAUCAGAUUGCAAGGGAAACAUCAGUUUGAAGAUGGUGUAUGAGUGUGGUUUGCCACAAAAGCUUCUUAGAUAAAUCAGAAAUCUUAUGUUAUUGAAAAAGUAGAACUUUUAUCAUUAAAAGUCCAUAACGUACUUUUACUGCUCCGCGUAAGUGGAAGAGAGGCAAAGGACGAGUUACUAUUCAAUUUGGAUGCUGUUAUAACUAUGCAAUAGAAACCCACCAGGAAUCCUUCAACGCGUAG
Eutrema salsugineum is the source of this 3925-nucleotide RNA transcript. RefSeq lists it as uncharacterized. The transcript has 3 exons. The record is from RefSeq and is a predicted model, not a curated record. Lineage: Eukaryota; Viridiplantae; Streptophyta; Magnoliopsida; Brassicales; Brassicaceae.